This 1257-nucleotide long non-coding RNA is filed under the name Equus caballus (horse). RNAcentral describes it as "lncRNA (ENSECAG00000053652.1)". The record is from RNAcentral. Lineage: Eukaryota; Metazoa; Chordata; Mammalia; Perissodactyla; Equidae.
CAUUGUGGUACUCUGUUCUUUCCAGAGAAGAAAAAUUUCCUGCUGCUGUUAUCAACAAAACAGAAAUUAGAUAUAAUUAUCCAGAAAUUAAAGCAAAAACUCUACUGUUACCUGACUCCUGUGGGCAAUUGAAACCGAAAGCGCAUUUGCCACUGGAGAGCUGGCUUCAGUUGAGCUGCGCACGUGACCAUGAGUGGGAAACCACAACAUCUGGACAGUGGUGAUCUCAUCCACGUAUCAGCCUCAAGAAUGUGGUAGAAAUCAUGUUUGAGUGAGUUCUGGAUCCUAAGACUUAAAAGGAAGUCUUGCAGCUUCCACCUUGGAACCCUGAGACCAUCAUCCUGUGAAGAAAUCCAGAUCAGAGGCCCCAUGGAGAAGUACCAGAGCAUGCCAGCUGACUACCCACACAAAGGCUCCGGACAUAUAAGUGAACCAUCUUGGACUUCCCAGCCUGGUCUGGUCACCAACUAAGUGCAGCCACAUGAUAGCUGACAUUCAAAAGACUGAGGGGUUUUGAAAUUACUUCUGCUUAGAAACGAGCGUCAAGAAACCAGUUUUCUAUGGCAUACUGGCUGAGAAAGUACGCAAACACAGAGGUCUUGCUCUGAGGGAGUGGUGAUCUGUUUCUCAUGAAGAAAUGUUCAGCUGGUGAGCUGGAGUUGCAUCCUAGGAUGUGGCAGACGUUCCCGGUUAGUCACAGCCACUUCUGGACCACUGCAGACGUUCUUCCAGGGGGCAAAGACUUCAUCUCUAAGUUACCUCAAGGCUGUGAGCAUCUGAGAUCAUGGUUUGCAGAAGCAGCUCUCUCCCGAGAGAGCAGGAGGAAGAGACUGAAAAUCUCCUGGAGCUAAGAACAUACAAUGGAGAAAGGAAAGUCUCUUCAAUAAAUGGUAUUGGGGAAACUGGACAGCCACAUGCAAAAGAAUGAACAUAGACCAUUAUCGUUCACUAUACAAAAAAUUAACUCAAAAUGGAUAAAAGACUUGAAGGUAAGACCUGAAGCAAUAAAAUUCUUAGAAGAAGAUAUAGGCAGUACACUUUUUGACGUUGGUCUUAGAAGGAUCUUUUUGAAUACCAUGUCUACUUGGGCAAGGGAAACAGAAGAAAAAAUAAACAAAUGAGACUUCAUCAGACUAAAGAUCUUCUACAAGGCAAAGGAAACCAGAAACAAAACUAAAAGGUAGUCCACCAACUGGGAGAAAAUAUUUGCAAAUCAUAUAUCUGACAAGGGGUUAACUUCCAAAAUAUGUAAACGAC